RNAcentral lists this ribosomal RNA (662 nucleotides) under uncultured Chlorobiota bacterium. RNAcentral describes it as "bacterial SSU rRNA". It matches the Rfam family "Bacterial small subunit ribosomal RNA", at positions 9 to 676 of the family's 1533-position model. The record is from RNAcentral. Lineage: Bacteria; Pseudomonadati; Chlorobiota.
GAGUUUGAUCCUGGCUCAGGCACGAGCGCUGGCGGCGUGCUUAACACAUGCAAGUCAAGGGGAAAGUUUCUUUCGGGAAACGAGUAUACUGGCGCACGGGUGAGUAAUAUGUAAGUAACCUACCCAUGGGACAUGGAUAACCUCGAGAAAUCGGGGCUAAUACACGAUAAUGCAGCGGCACCGCAUGGUGAUGUUGUUAAAGUUUUAGCGCCUAUGGAUGGGCUUGCAUUAGAUUAGCUUGUUGGUAAGGUAAAGGCUUACCAAGGCUACGAUCUAUAACUGGUCUGAGAGGAUGAUCAGUCACACUGGAACUGAGACACGGUCCAGACUCCUACGGGAGGCAGCAGUGAGGAAUAUUGGGCAAUGGGCGAAAGCCUGACCCAGCAACGCCGCGUGGAGGAUGAAUGCCGUAAGGUUGUAAACUCCUUUAGGGCGGGACGAAAAACCAUUGGGAAUUGACUGUACCACCAGAAUAAGCCCCGGCUAACUACGUGCCAGCAGCCGCGGUAAUACGUAGGGGGCAAGCGUUGUCCGGAUUUACUGGGUGUAAAGGGCGCGUAGGCGGGCUUGUAAGUCAGAGGUGAAAUCCUGCGGCUCAACCGUAGAACUGCCUUUGAAACUACAAGUCUUGAGUUCGGAAGAGAGAGAUGGAAUUCCAGUGU